CGUGUAGGCGGCCAAGCAGGUCUGUUGUGAAAACUGGAGGCUCAACCUCCAGACGUCGACAGAAACCGCGUGGCUAGAGUCCGGAAGAGGAGAGUGGAAUUCCUGGUGUAGCGGUGAAAUGCGCAGAUAUCAGGAAGAACACCAAUGGCGAAGGCAGCUCUCUGGGACGGUACUGACGCUGAGAGCGAAAGCGUGGGGAGCGAACA
This 206-nucleotide ribosomal RNA is filed under the name uncultured bacterium. RNAcentral describes it as "partial 16S ribosomal RNA". It matches the Rfam family "Bacterial small subunit ribosomal RNA", at positions 568 to 774 of the family's 1533-position model. The record is from RNAcentral.